UUGUUUAUUGUAGCCGUGAUGGCAAUGUCAUGGAUAAAAUCGCUGGGCAACUCAUCCCCUCUCCCACCUUCUACUUUGACUCAACAAUGGAGGGACAUAACAUAGGGCCACAAAGACCUGCAGUUUGUGAAGGAUUAUCAUCUUUUAUGGACCCACUGGUUCUGGCAAGUCCAGCUUCAUCAACUCUGUCGACAGUGCUUUACAAGGCAGAAUCACUUGUCGAGCUUUGCCAGAUGCAAUCUAUCAGGAGAGCUUCACCACAGAAUACAGAACUUUUAAAAUCCAAAACGGAGGACCAGGAACAUUUUACCCCUUUGUCUUCACUGACAUCAUGGGCAUUGAGCAAGGAACCAAUAAAAGAGUUGGUGUGGAAGACAUCAAACAAGCUUUGAUGGGACACAUUAGAGAUGGUUACAAUUUCAAUCCUGUCUGUAAAAUAUUGGAGGAUGAUAAAAACUACAACAAAACCCCCACUCUGUGUGACCGAGUUCAUGUUCUGGUUUGUGUAAUCACUGCCGACACAGUAAAUAUUCUGAAUGCUGAAUCUGUGAGAAAGAUGAGGGAAGUCAGACUUGCAGCCAGAGACAUGGGGAUUCCCCAACUGGCUAUUCUCUAUUCUCACCAAAAUUGAUGAAGCCUGCCCAGAGGUCAAAAGAGAUAUAAGGAAUGUCUAUAAGAGCAUGUACCUGAAGCAACAGAUGGAAAAAUUAAGUGCGGGGCUGGGUAUUCCACUGUACUGCAUCUUUCCGGUGAAGAACUACCACUCAGAGAUCGCCACAAAUGAUGACACUGACACACUGAUACUAAGUGCACUGAGACAGAUGAUUAACUUUGGAAAAGACUUUGUUGACAGCAUGUAAACCUACAUACUGCUGAGGCAAAUCUUGCUUUAGCAGCGUGAAGAGUCAGUCUGCAAACAGGAAUGGCAUAAAGUGGGCUUCUGGGUUUUCAUUUGCAUGCAGGUAAUGCAUAUCUGCUAUAAGUUGUCAUACAUCUACCUUGCUAAAUAAAGUAUGAACA
This is a long non-coding RNA of Sander lucioperca (pikeperch), 1020 nucleotides long. RefSeq lists it as uncharacterized. The transcript has 7 exons. Lineage: Eukaryota; Metazoa; Chordata; Actinopteri; Perciformes; Percidae. The record is from RefSeq and is a predicted model, not a curated record.